CUACGGGAGGCACCAGUCGAGAAGCUUCCGCAAUGGGGGAAACCCUGACGGAGCGACGCCGCGUGAGCGAAGAAGGUCCUAUGGAUUGUAAAGCUCUGUCAGAUUGGGAAGAAAAGUCUACGGUUAAUACCCGUAGGCCUUGACGGUACCAUCAGAGGAAGCACCGGCUAACUCCGUGCCAGCAGCCGCGGUAAUACGGAGGGUGCAAGCGUUGUUCGGAUUCACUGGGUAUAAAGGGUGCGCAGGCGGCCUGAUAAGUCAGGGGUGAAAUAUGACGGCUCAACCGUCAAACUGCCCCUGAAACUGUCAGGCUUGAGUCCGGGAGAGGAAGGUGGGAUUCCUGGUGUAGCGGUGAAAUGCGUAAAUAUCAGGAGGAACACCGGUGGCGAAGGCGGCCUUCUGGCCCGGUACUGACGCUCAGGCACGAAAGCAUGGGGAGCGAACGGGAUUAGAUACCCUUGUAGUC
RNAcentral lists this ribosomal RNA (466 nucleotides) under uncultured bacterium. RNAcentral describes it as "partial 16S ribosomal RNA". It matches the Rfam family "Bacterial small subunit ribosomal RNA", at positions 339 to 795 of the family's 1533-position model. The record is from RNAcentral.